RNAcentral lists this ribosomal RNA (517 nucleotides) under Bacillus licheniformis. RNAcentral's name for it is "bacterial SSU rRNA". It matches the Rfam family "Bacterial small subunit ribosomal RNA", at positions 690 to 1207 of the family's 1533-position model. The record is from RNAcentral. Lineage: Bacteria; Bacillati; Bacillota; Bacilli; Caryophanales; Bacillaceae.
GUAGAGAUGUGGAGGAACACCAGUGGCGAAGGCGACUCUCUGGUCUGUAACUGACGCUGAGGCGCGAAAGCGUGGGGAGCGAACAGGAUUAGAUACCCUGGUAGUCCACGCCGUAAACGAUGAGUGCUAAGUGUUAGAGGGUUUCCGCCCUUUAGUGCUGCAGCAAACGCAUUAAGCACUCCGCCUGGGGAGUACGGUCUCUAGACUGAAACUCAAAGGAAUUGACGGGGGCCCGCACAAGCGGUGGAGCAUGUGGUUUAAUUCGAAGCAACGCGAAGAACCUUACCAGGUCUUGACAUCCUCUGACAACCCUAGAGAUAGGGCUUCCCCUUCGGGGGCAGAGUGACAGGUGGUGCAUGGUUGUCGUCAGCUCGUGUCGUGAGAUGUUGGGUUAAGUCCCGCAACGAGCGCAACCCUUGAUCUUAGUUGCCAGCAUUCAGUUGGGCACUCUAAGGUGACUGCCGGUGACAAACCGGAGGAAGGUGGGGAUGACGUCAAAUCAUCAUGCCCCUUAUGA